This 415-nucleotide ribosomal RNA is filed under the name uncultured microorganism. Its description in RNAcentral is "bacterial SSU rRNA". It matches the Rfam family "Bacterial small subunit ribosomal RNA", at positions 9 to 420 of the family's 1533-position model. The record is from RNAcentral.
GAGUUUGAUCGUGGCUCAGAUUGAACGCUGGCGGCAUGCCUUACACAUGCAAGUCGAACGGCAGCAUGAUCUAGCUUGCUAGAUUGAUGGCGAGUGGCGAACGGGUGAGUAAUACAUCGGAACGUGCCCUGUAGUGGGGGAUAACUAGUCGAAAGAUUAGCUAAUACCGCAUACGACCUGAGGGUGAAAGUGGGGGACCGCAAGGCCUCAUGCUAUAGGAGCGGCCGAUGUCUGAUUAGCUAGUUGGUGGGGUAAAGGCCCACCAAGGCGACGAUCAGUAGCUGGUCUGAGAGGACGAUCAGCCACACUGGGACUGAGACACGGCCCAGACUCCUACGGGAGGCAGCAGUGGGGAAUUUUGGACAAUGGGCGAAAGCCUGAUCCAGCAAUGCCGCGAGUGUGAAGAAGGCCUCGG